Molecule: long non-coding RNA, 828 nt
Organism: Pieris napi
Lineage: Eukaryota; Metazoa; Arthropoda; Insecta; Lepidoptera; Pieridae
Exons: 2
Source: RefSeq, a predicted model, not a curated record
UACCUGGGGGUCUAGCCAUAUUGGUGUCGAAAAGUAUUCUACAUACACUACCGCUUUUGCGUAAUUGUACUGUCGAAAACGCUUCGUUCGUAGCCAAGACGCAUGUCGAUACAUUACCGCAAAGUCGACAGCGUAGAUGCGAGCUGCUGUUCGUAGCACCUUAUUCCGUCAUAUUGUCUCUGGAUUAAAUGUAUUCCUAAUGUCACUUUUAUAAACAAAUAAAAGUUAAAACUACAAUAUUAUUGUAAAUUUGCAAUAAUUGCAAAUUCCAAUGAUUGGAAGCUGCAAAAGGGACAUUAGAAUGUCAGCAAGGUCGGAACAAUUUUCGAUUUAAGUGGAAUUUACGGAAGGUGCAAAGUCAAUAUAUGAAUUUUAAUUGCAUGUUUAAAUUAAUUAUGGAUUAGGAACCUCACAACUAAUCUGCAAAGUGAAGAAGCAACAUAUUUUGUUACCGCUUAGAGGAAACAAUAGAAAUAGUACUGUGGAUUGAUAAAUAAAGAGUGAAAAUAAGGUUUACUAGAAGUUGAUAAGGAAUAGAAGGAUAGUCCAAAACUUAAAGGAAGGAAUUAAAAACAAUAGAAAAAAAACGUAGACUAGUGUGAACACUGAAAUUAGAGUUUGAUUUAAGCUUUAAUUAGGUUUGGUGUUUGUGUUUGAACAUUUUUAAUGUCAAUUUGUAAGCAGAUUUAUAUAUAAGUGUAGAUUUUAUUGGUGAUUACUACUAGUUGGAAUUAUCUCUGUUUAUGUCUAACAAACAAUUUCAGUUUAAGUUAGAGUCAUAAAGGUUGAUUGUUUAUAAUAAAUUUAUACUUUUAGAAAGUGAGAAUU